Molecule: long non-coding RNA, 120 nt
Organism: Ailuropoda melanoleuca (giant panda)
Lineage: Eukaryota; Metazoa; Chordata; Mammalia; Carnivora; Ursidae
Exons: 2
Source: RefSeq, a predicted model, not a curated record
CACUUCAAGUAACUCACAACCUGCAACCUUUGGAAGGCCUCAGUCUGCAAGACAACAUCAGGACUUUGUCAAGCAAUUAAUGGUCACUAGUUGGGAGAAGAAGAUUGAAAAAAAAAAAAA